This 213-nucleotide unclassified non-coding RNA is filed under the name Hevea brasiliensis (rubber tree). Lineage: Eukaryota; Viridiplantae; Streptophyta; Magnoliopsida; Malpighiales; Euphorbiaceae. The record is from RNAcentral.
UUCCCAACACUAAUGCAUAUGUCGUUUCUAAAAAAUGGUCAUAGUCUUCUGGUCUUCCAGACACUGCAUCCAAAUGUGCCCAUAACAUCUUCAGUUGUCUAUUGGUCAAGAAAACCAUACUUUCCUGCUAUAAAUCUCCUCUAUAAGGCUCUAUGUUCGGUACAAAAUCUCCAUAGCCAUUUUUGGAGCAGAAAACUAUUAUGGAGACUUAGG